This 443-nucleotide unclassified non-coding RNA is filed under the name uncultured fungus. Its description in RNAcentral is "partial contains small subunit ribosomal RNA, internal transcribed spacer 1, and 5.8S ribosomal RNA". The stretch from base 1 to 73 matches the Rfam family "Eukaryotic small subunit ribosomal RNA", at positions 1759 to 1831 of the family's 1831-position model. Lineage: Eukaryota; Fungi. The record is from RNAcentral.
GCAAACUUGGUCAUUUAGAGGAAGUAAAAGUCGUAACAAGGUUUCCGUAGGUGAACCUGCGGAAGGAUCAUUAGCUUAUGAUGCUGAAAUAAUGUGUGCAGUGCUGUGUUAGUGUAGUGGUGGUGUGUUGGUGGUCGACGCGCGCACACUGUGUGCGACGGUGCCGCUACCGCUGCUAUAUUAUGCGCACGCACACUUUUUCAACAACACAACACCCUUGUGAACCUGGAUACAUUAUAUAACCAUACGUUCUAGUGGGAGCCCUGGUGGUGGUGGUAGUGAUGAUAAUAAUUAUUAUUAACACACUGCUGCAGCUGGGGCAACCGCUAUUACUAUCAAACCUUUGUACAUUGUGCAAACAUUAAUAGUUAUCAUUAUUAUUAAUAUAUCACACAACUUUUAACAAUGGAUCUCUUGGCUCCUGCAUCGAUGAAGAACGCAGC